GUCUGCAGCAGGUUGCUGUAUCAAUCAAUGACCUUGAUUGAUCUAAGAAGCAAAGCAGGGUCAUCCCUGGUUAGUAUUGGGAUGGGAAACUUCUAGGAAUUUCUGGUCUGCAGACC
RNAcentral lists this ribosomal RNA (116 nucleotides) under Notechis scutatus (mainland tiger snake). The record is from RNAcentral. Lineage: Eukaryota; Metazoa; Chordata; Lepidosauria; Squamata; Elapidae.